UGGGGAAUAUUGGACAAUGGGCGAAAGCCUGAUCCAGCCAUGCCGCGUGAAUGAUGAAGGCCUUAGGGUUGUAAAAUUCUUUCACCGGGGACGAUAAUGACGGUACCCGGAGAAGAAGCCCCGGCUAACUUCGUGCCAGCAGCCGCGGUAAUACGAAGGGGGCUAGCGUUGCUCGGAAUUACUGGGCGUAAAGAGUACGUAGGCGGAUCGAUUAGUUGGUGGUGAAAGCCCAGAGCUCAACUCUGGAACUGCCAUCAAUACUGUCGAUCUGGAGCAGAGUAGAGGUAAGUGGAAUUCCAAGUGUAGAGGUGAAAUUCGUAGAUAUUUGGAGGAACACCAGUGGCGAAGGCGACUUACUGGACUCUUGCUGACGCUGAGGUACGAAAGCGUGGGGAGCAAA
Molecule: ribosomal RNA, 400 nt
Filed under: uncultured bacterium
Lineage: Bacteria
Description: bacterial SSU rRNA
Rfam family: Bacterial small subunit ribosomal RNA
Source: RNAcentral